AGAAUAAUGUCACAUGGAUUUUGAGUCAACAGGUCACAUGACUUGGAAGCUAUUGAAGAAAAACCCUAAAUUUUGACCAAAAAAAAUGUUAAAAAAA
This is a long non-coding RNA of Poecilia latipinna (sailfin molly), 97 nucleotides long. RefSeq lists it as uncharacterized. The transcript has 3 exons. Lineage: Eukaryota; Metazoa; Chordata; Actinopteri; Cyprinodontiformes; Poeciliidae. The record is from RefSeq and is a predicted model, not a curated record.